Molecule: unclassified non-coding RNA, 349 nt
Filed under: soil metagenome
Description: partial contains 5.8S ribosomal RNA, internal transcribed spacer 2, and large subunit ribosomal RNA
Rfam family: 5.8S ribosomal RNA (bases 1-120)
Source: RNAcentral
GAUGAAGAACGUAGCGAAAUGCGAUAAGUAGUGUGAAUUGCAGAAUUCAGUGAAUCAUCGAGUCUUUGAACGCACAUUGCGCCCCCUGGUAUUCCGGGGGGCAUGCCUGUCCGAGCGUCAUUGCUGCCCAUCAAGCACGGCUUGUGUGUUGGGUCCUCGUCCCCCCCGGGGGACGUGCCCGAAAGGCAGCGGCGGCACCGCGUCCGGUCCUCGAGCGUAUGGGGCUUUGUCACCCGCUCUGCAGGCCCGGCCGGCGCUGGCCGACGCGAAAGCAACCAUUUUUUCUCCAGGUUGACCUCGGAUCAGGUAGGGAUACCCGCUGAACUUAAGCAUAUCAAUAAGCGGAGGA